GGGCCGCAGAUGAAGAGGAGGCGGUGGCAGUGGUGGAAGAAGAGGCGGCGGCGGCGGGGGUAGGGAUCCUGGAAACGCGAGCGGGGAUGGUAGGUGGUUUGGACCCGCCGGGCCGCCGUCGUUUCCAGAAAGGGUUUGACUGGAGGAACCUCUGGAGCAGCUGUUGGCUGGUUCCUCUGGCUGAUGGCAUGUUGAAGUACAUGGGCCAGCGGCAGCGAGGGCAUCCAUUCCAGAGGGGGCCACUUUAGAGGCCAGGCCGCCAGCACCAUGGGCCAGUGUGUCACCAAGUGCAAGAAUCCCUCAUCAACCUUGGGCAGCAAGAAUGGAGACCGGGACUCCAGCAGCAAAUCACACAGCAGGCGAAGUGCAGGCCACCGUGAGGAACAGGUGCCACCUUGUGGCAAGCCAGGUGGGGAUAUCCUCGUCAAUGGGACCAAGAAGGCGGAGGCUGCCACUGAGGUCUGCCAGUUGCCAACGUCCUCGGGAGAUGCUGGGAGGGAGUCCAAGUCCAAUGCUGAAGAGUCUUCCUUGCAGAGGUUGGAAGAACUGUUCAGGCGCUACAAGGACGAGCGGGAGGAUGCAAUUUUGGAAGAAGGCAUGGAACGCUUUUGCAAUGACCUAUGUGUCGACCCCACGGAAUUUCGAGUGCUGCUCUUGGCUUGGAAGUUCCAGGCUGCUACCAUGUGCAAAUUCACCAGGAAGGAGUUUUUCGAUGGCUGCAAGGCAAUAAGUGCAGACAGCAUUGACGGGAUCUGUGCGCGGUUCCCUAGCCUCUUAACAGAAGCCAAACAGGAGGAUAAAUUCAAGGAUCUCUACCGGUUUACAUUUCAGUUUGGCCUGGACUCUGAAGAAGGGCAGCGGUCACUGCAUCGGGAAAUAGCCAUUGCCCUGUGGAAACUAGUCUUCACUCAAAACAACCCUCCAGUAUUGGACCAGUGGCUAAACUUCCUAACAGAAAACCCCUCGGGGAUCAAGGGCAUCUCCCGGGACACUUGGAACAUGUUCCUUAACUUCACUCAGGUGAUUGGCCCCGACCUCAGCAACUACAGUGAAGAUGAGGCCUGGCCAAGUCUCUUUGAUACCUUUGUGGAGUGGGAAAUGGAGCGAAGGAAAAGAGAAGGGGAAGGGAGAGGUGCACUCAGCUCAGGGCCCGAGGGCUUGUGUCCCGAGGAGCAGACUUAGUGGCUCUGUCCCAGGAGCAGCAGCAAAGAGCUGCCUGCUGUCCUGCAGCCAACCAAGGAAUUGGACCUUUCUGGAAAUUACUGAAGAUCCGGAUAUUUUCUACUUUACACCUUUCUCUGCCUUCACCUCGUCUCAGCUGCUUGCCUUAGCAGUUCUUCCUCAUCCUGCGAGAUGUGCUCACAUGUUGUGUUAGGUCCAGGAACUUAUGUCUACUCUUCUGAUAAGGGAAGAAGAAAAAUCCAGAGGUGAGUGAAGAUCCAAAUUUCAACCAAACCUCAUGGUCCAGGGAAAUUAAUUGAAAAUGUACAAGACAGUGUUUUCAGUAUUAAACUUCCCCGUGGAAGGUGUAUAAACCAGCCUUCUUGGAAAGGAAGAAAGGAUUAAGCCACACAGUAUUAGUCUCUGAAACAGUACUGAUCUCCCAGGAGCUGCUGCCAAAAUUCAGUCCUUGGUGCCGGAGGCUACAAGGGAGAAGCUACCGGGGUAAAGACUUGUCUUACGGUUUACAAAACAGGUUCUAUUUCGGACUGUUGGGUUUGCCAUAUUUCAAAUGAAAUCUUCAGGGUAGUAAAGCCCAAAGGUAGAGUCAACUAUACUGUUAUUAAGGUAAGGACUGAACAAAAGCUGCUCCUAGGGAUUCUUUGUUCUUUUGGUUUGGCUUUUUUUUUUUUUUUUUUUUGGUGGCUUGCAGUUUUUCUUGUCUGUUAUGUUUGGUUAAUGACGACUUGAAUAUCGUGAUAACUGACAAAGGUCUUCCUUGGUGGACUUGAAUAUCUUGGUAACUGACAAAGGUCUUCCUUGGAGGACUCCAGCAGUAUAUUGUUUAAAUGGCUAUAAAAGGACUAUUACAGUUAUUGAAAUGUGUUACCCAGGACUCAUUUGAGGACAUGUGACAUUGCUCGUCCUCACUCCAUAUGUUUUCUGAGUCAUUUAGAGGGGGUGCCCACCUACCGCCUUCAAGUUCAUUCCCAUUGUAAGCCGUAACUAUGGCAUCUAUCCAGUUUCACUUGGAUUGGGACUGCAUGUCAGUGAUGACCAGCAGGGUGUUUUUUUUUUUUUCUUUCUCAAAGAAAAUAAAUAAAUUGAUGCUUGAGCCCUGGUUGCAGAAGCCAAGAUGGCUUGCAUUAAACAUCAGGUUCUGCUUCUGCUUCAGAUGCUGGGGCAUCUUGUCCUCCCCAUUCCUUGCUAGAAACCCAGCUUGCUCUCAGAUACUCACUUGUCUACCACCCACCUUUUUUCCUCACUGCUGUCAACACAAAUCUUUGAUGUUGCCAAAGGAAGCCAGCUGUUUGUUUUGUCCCCCUGCUUCCCUAACACAUAGAUGCGCUCUGGAAGUGUCUUCUGACUCUGGUCCCCAGCUCUCUCGUCUGUGAUCAAUUGCUCUUACCUGUUGCACUAAUGAGUAUAGUUCUAAGUUUCAAAGGGGGAAUUUGAAGCAAUAGGCAAAUGGGGCAUGGAUGGUUUGGUCCUACAGGUAUCCUGCCUUAAGCUGUCGAGGUGAUGAGUCCACUGCUCAUGUGACCCUCCCCCACUGUUGUGGAUCCCUCUUGGUUUGUGACCAGCGUGUCUAUUUCUUGGGGCUGUACAAACUUGACAAAAGUUAAUACUUUUGAUUGUGUUCUCUGCACUGUUGCACUCUUCAAAUGGCCCCUUGAAUAUUUUUAUUAACUUGUUACACACAUUUUUGUCUUUGAUGUCUACAUUAUUUUUUUCUUUUGAUGUUUUAUUUGGAAGGUUAUCUGCUGUUGGAUUUAAUAAAUUUGUUUACUUGAUUAUUGACA
Molecule: non-coding RNA, 2963 nt
Organism: Oryctolagus cuniculus (rabbit)
Lineage: Eukaryota; Metazoa; Chordata; Mammalia; Lagomorpha; Leporidae
Source: RefSeq, a predicted model, not a curated record